Molecule: ribosomal RNA, 253 nt
Filed under: uncultured bacterium
Lineage: Bacteria
Description: partial 16S ribosomal RNA
Rfam family: Bacterial small subunit ribosomal RNA
Source: RNAcentral
UACGUAGGGUGCUAGCGUUGUCCGGAAUUAUUGGGCGUAAAGAGCUCGUAGGCGGUCUGUCGCGUCGGAUGUGAAAACACGGGGCUCAACCCCGUGCCUGCAUUCGAUACGGGCAGACUAGAGUUCGGUAGGGGAGACUGGAAUUCCUGGUGUAGCGGUGAAAUGCGCAGAUAUCAGGAGGAACACCGGUGGCGAAGGCGGGUCUCUGGGCCGAUACUGACGCUGAGGAGCGAAAGCGUGGGGAGCGAACAGG